CCUACGGGUGGCAGCAGUGGGGAAUAUUGCACAAUGGGCGAAAGCCUGAUGCAGCGACGCCGCGUGAGCGAAGAAGGCAUUCGGUAUGUAAAGCUCUGUCCGCAGGGAAGAAAAUGACGGUACCUGAGUAGGAAGCCCCGGCUAACUACGUGCCAGCAGCCGCGGUAAUACGUAGGGGGCGAGCGUUAUCCGGAUUUACUGGGUGUAAAGGGGGCGUAGACGGCAGUGCAAGUCUGGAGUGAAAGGCGGGGGCUCAACCCGCGGAAGGCUUUUGAAACUGUACGGCUGGAGUGCAGGAGAGGUAAGUGGAAUUCCUAGUGUAGCGGUGAAAUGCGUAGAUAUUAGGAGGAACACCAGUUGCGAAGGCGGCUUACUGGACUGUAACUGACGUUGAGGCACGAAAGCGUGGGGAGCAAACAGGAUUAGAUACCCGAGUAGUC
This 440-nucleotide ribosomal RNA is filed under the name uncultured bacterium. Its description in RNAcentral is "partial 16S ribosomal RNA". It matches the Rfam family "Bacterial small subunit ribosomal RNA", at positions 338 to 795 of the family's 1533-position model. The record is from RNAcentral.